This is a long non-coding RNA of Brassica rapa (field mustard), 15254 nucleotides long. RefSeq lists it as uncharacterized. The record is from RefSeq and is a predicted model, not a curated record. Lineage: Eukaryota; Viridiplantae; Streptophyta; Magnoliopsida; Brassicales; Brassicaceae.
AAUUUUCAUAAUAAAUAUUAAUAUUUAAAUAAUUUUUUAAUGCAUAAUCUAUAAACAUUGUAUUCAUUUUUAGUUCUUUUCACUUGUAUGAUAUUAUUAAUUUUUUGUUAGAUAUCAAUUUUUUCACAAGAUUUAACCAACCAAACAAGUAAAACCACCAUAAGCUAAAAUAAUAACUAACACACAUGUGAGAAGAAGAAAAUCUAUUCAAAAUCUUUCCAAAAAUUUUCAAGAGUAAAAUAAUCAAAAAAAUUUGCAAUAAGUUUCAAGUGUAUAAUUAUAACACAUCAACUUGUGAAAUUCAUUCAAGACCAUUAAAAUUUUACCAACAUACACUGUAAAAUAAUUAAAUUAUGAAAAAAAUAUGAUGAAUAAUACACAAAUGCACUUUUAAUAGAAUUUACGACGUAGACUUCAACUGCCGUCUAUAUUUGUAGAUUUACAAAAACGUCUACACUUAUUAUGUAACAUAUAGUCAAUCCAAAAAAUUUUAGUGUAUUUGGCGCAGGCUUGAUACACAAAGGCGUAAAAAGUGUGUCUUAUAUAACUCGAUCAAGUUUCGUACUUGUCGAUUAUUUGUGACAGGCAUAAGAGGAGUAUUUGCCUAUUCGGAGUCAUUUGUUGUAAAAUGACGUCUGGAAAGAAAUAGUUUAGCACCAUCUUCUCGAUUUUCUUGUCCAGAUCAUAAUCUUCUUGUGCCAUUUCAAGAAGUUUACCAUGUGUACACCCAUCAUGCACAAGAAACAUUCUUCAUCCUUUCUGAUUCCUCAUCUUUUUCGAAUUUUUUGUCACCCAAAAUGUCUUUGGCCCAUGCUUCACACUCGCUCUAAGCUUCCAACCACAUCCUUGAACAUGACACUUAGCCACCUACAGAGUUUUCGUUGUCUUAUAUGCUGAGAAUGUAAAUUCAUAUUCCACAGCCACCGACUUCAGCUUUGAAACAAGCUCAGCCUUACUAGCAAAAUUCUGACCGACAUAUAUAUUGUCCUUUAAGGACAAUGAUCUUCCUUCACCACCAGAGAAUCGUGCUUUAUAAACAUCAUAAAGCGUUUCAUUUGCAUCCUCGUUAGAAUCCUCAUCUUUCACUUUCCCGUAAUCACUGUAGUUUACACCAUCGUCAACAUCAACAGCAACAUCAGCAGUUGCUUGAACAUUAUCAGCAGUUUCUUGAACAUCAUCAGCAUCGGUACUAUCUUCAUCCCACUCUGAAUCAGUAUCUUGACCAGUAUCUUCAUAAGCAAAAUUACUAUCAUCACCAUCAGACACAUCCGCAUCAUCAUCAACUCCAGCUUCUACUUGGCUCUGGCUUGAUACACAAAGGCGUACAAAGUGUGUCUUAGCCAACUCGAUCAAGUUUCGCACUUUUCUAUCAUUCGUGACAUGCAUAGGAGGAGUAUCGGGAGCCAUUUUCUGUAAAAUGACGUCUGGUAAGGAAUAUGUUAGCACCACCUUCUCGAUUUUCUUGUCCAGACCAUAAUCUUCUAGUGCCAUUUGAUGAAGUUCACCAUGUGUACAACAUCUAGCACAAGAAACAUUAUCCCUCCUUUCCGAUUAUUGACCACAAACUCCCACAAAAAGACUUUCACCAGCCAUUUUCCGUAUACAACAGGUAUCUGAGCCAUUUCCUGCAAAAAAAAUACAUGUUUACAUAAUCAGCAAAGAAAUAUUUCAUGUUUCAUAAAACUAUAAACGAAGACUUACAAAUACGUCUAUAAUUAUUAGCUAACAACAUUGUCAAAAUCAAAUGAAUUAUACCUUCAUAAUUAUAAAAAAAUUUCUAUUCAAAAUCACUCAAACCCAUUAGGAUUAACUAACACACACUGUCAAACAAAAAAAAACUAGAAAAAACUUAAUGAAUAAUACACAAAUUCACAUUUUUAUAGAUUUUCUAUGCAGACUUAAUAUUCUGUCUCUGAAGAUGUAGACGUUCUUUUAAGUUUACAGACGUAGACUGUCAAAUAGGUCUACUCUUUGGGUUAGUUUUUGCAAUUGACUAUUUUACGGGUUGAUUUCUAUAGUUGAAAAAAAAUUGUGAUUUUGUACAUGUAGACUUUCAUUUCAGUCUACAAUUUAAAAAUGUUAGUUUUUGCAAUUGACCAAAAUUCAUCCAAGAUUUGACUUUCAAAACUAGACUUUACAUGCAGUCUACAUGUUUGAAUUUUUUUUAAAGAGGUUAGUUUUGCAAUUGACCAAGUUUGACUUCCAAUCAGUAGACUGAAAUGAACGUCUACGGGUGUGUAGACUUCUUGUGAAGUCUACUCUCAAAUCUGACGGGUGGUUUUGCAUUUGACCAAAAUAAAAAAGUAGACUUUAUAUGCAGUCUACAUUUUUUUUCUAAGAUAAGAAGACUACAUAUGAAUUCUACAAUUUAAUAAAUUUUUGAUUGUUUUAAACUUUUUGGUCAAACACAAAACUAACCUAUUCAACGAAGUCAAAGUUUUGGUCAAAUGCAAAACUGACCUUUUAUAAACUUCGUUGGCAGUCUACAUCCGUUGAAGUCUAUUUUGAAAAGUCAAAAGUUCGGUCAAAUGAAAAACUUACCUCUUUUAGGUAGACGUCUUAGUAAGUCUACCGAAAGUUUUAUUUUUGUUGUCAAAGGUAAAGACGGACACUACUGGAGAAGUCUGCGUCAGAAAAAAAAUUGUUUGGUCAAUUGCAAAACUAACCUGUGCGUUGACAAAUAGAUUGCAUCAUAAGUCUCCACGGAGGCGUAUACAUACAAAACAGUCUACCGUCGCGACACAGAUCUGAAAAAGAACGAAAACCAUGUAAAUAGUUACAUUUUUCCUGUGUAAAGCUCGUUUCCCACCUUUUCAACUGUCCAAACUCCAAAUAUGAGCAAAAAGAAGCAUCUUUGACGAUUCACUAAUGAAAAACUCGAAAAUAUGAAGUUUGUGAUUAUGAAAAUGAAUGUUAUGAGAAUUUUUAGAUGGAAAUGUAGAGGAGAUGAGAGGAAAUGAAGUUUUUUGGGUUAGAAUGAGAAAAAAAGUGGUUGAAAAUUGAAUUCUAGAGCUUUUAGAGCUCAAAAAUGGUGGUUCAUGGUGGUUAAAAAAAUUGUUGUUGAUGGCAUUUUUGUAAAUAAGAAGAAAUGGUUAGGGUGUAUUUGUUUUUUUGUUAAUUUCAAAAUUAAUAAAAAAUUAAAUAAAAAUGGCAAUUUUGUGAAUAAUUCAAAAAUAUAGGGAUAGUAUGGAAAUUUUAUUGCUGAAUAGUAUGGACAAAAAAAAAGUUGGUUUUGGGUUUGACUUGAAAAAGUGGGUUGGUUUUGAAAAACACCCUUAUUCUUAUGAGAAAAAUAAUUGUUGGACUAAACAAAUUUCGGUAGGUCAUGAUUCUAAUUUAAUAGAAUAGAUAAAUCAAGAAAUCAAAAUCGGUAACUAAAUCGAGAAAUGAAAACCAUAAGCAUCCCUAAUUUAUUUCUCCCCAAAUCCAUGAAACAAUAACAGAAUAAUAUUUCAACUGAAUUAAAUUGAAGGAAAAGAACUACGCUAAAAGAUAAACAAAAGAAGAAAUCAUCAUGAUAAUUAUGAAGAGUUUUGACAGGGACAUAUUUUCCAUUCCAUAUUCAGAUGGCGAAGGAGCAAACAUAGCAGGUGACUGAGCAGCAAGUGUUGGUGGUGAUUGUAUAAUCGUUGGUGAUGAACCGGGUUUAGCUGCAGAUGAAUGGCUACUUGCAGGUGAAGAAACAGACGGUGAUGUUGUGGUUAUUGAUGUGGAUGAACCGGAAGACAAUGUAGUUGUCGGUGGUUUCGAAGGAGAUACUGCAUAGAUACCAUUAAUCGAAUAUCAUUUCAACAAAUUUAAAUUUAAUCAUUAACAAAAAAAUAACAAUAUCUCUUAUUCCACAAGAGCAGUUUACUAGUGAAAAACUUGUUAGUCGUAAUAGUUAAGAAUCAUUUAAUUUUUUUUUAAAGUAAAUGAACCAUAAUCAUUAGAUAAGGAAAAAAAAAAUAAGAUACCAAAAUGAGGAUCGAUGGGGAUGUUACAAGUAGAAGGCAUUGCAAGAGCUCUAUUGUUAAUCAAAUCAAACCCAAUUGCACGACUACUCUCCAACGCAAUGCAUAGACAGCUAGAGUUAUAUUCAAGAACAAUUUUAAUCCCUUCGCAACAUGUUUUGGUAGGACUUAGAUCAGUUGAUCCAACUGUCAAAAAGGAAAGACAAUCAAACAUGCCGUAAACUACUGUGGAGCAAUCAUUGUUUGAUGGUUCAGAUGAUGGAGAGAACACAGGUGACUCUGACGGCGACAUGAAUACAGCGGCAUCGCAUGAUAGAAGUAGCAAUACAUUAGAUAAAACAACUAAAUGCUUCAUUAUUUUUUGUUCUUCUCUUUUCUUUUCAGUUUGAUUUAUUUUCUUUAACCUUUUUACUGGGAGAUCAACAACUUCUACGUCUAUAUAUAAGGUUAUGAAAGAAUAUAACUGUUUGGUGUACCAUAUUCUCUUUUCGAAUUUAAAAUAGUUCUUGUUAUUUGAAAAUUUGUUUUUAUAUUAAAUAAUUUUAAAAAGUUACUAGAGUUUGUCUUGUUUGUGCCGUUAUUUUUUGGGAAAAUUGCGGAUAAGGAACAAAACAACUAUAGAUUUUUCUCCUUAGUAUUAAAUCAUAAAUCUUUGUUCCUAUAGAAUAAACAAUAGUGAAUACCCUAAUUGUCAUUUACUUUAACAUAUAGUUACCAUAAAAAAUUAAUUUUACUUUAAUGAAAUAGAAAGUAAAAGGAGUAAAAGUUUUAAACAAAAAUACAACCUUGUCGUCGUCUCCGACUCCUAUCUCAAUUGAAGAAGAUGCGAUUUCGUUCGCCGUCGCCACCGUCUUGAGCUGGCCGUCUAAGUUUGUCGGAGAGGUUGAAAUCGUCAUCCCAUCUCUCCGUCGUCCUCCUUCUUUCAUUGCCACAUCACUUCGUCUUUCCUCAGUUAUUACCGCCGUCGUCACAUCUCUUCGUCCUUCCUUCCUCGUCACAUCUCUUCGUCUUUCAUUUGAAAUCGUUGUCACGAUUAGAUUCACAUUGUUCUUUUUUUGUUCUUGCUUCAUCUCCGUUCCCAAAAAAUGAAGGUUAGGGGUUGGAAAUCCCCUUUAUUAUUUUUCUUUAUUUUGUUCGUUUUUAUGGUUUUGCACGUUUACGGUUUUGAUUUUAGUUUGUGGUUGAGUUGAUUGUAGUUUGUUGUUGAGUUCGAUUCACGUUUUUAAACACAAUUCGAUUCGAUUCACAUUUAUAGUUCUCAAUUCCUAAUAGACUUGAAAAGGCUAAUUAGUUUGACAUGUAAAUAGAUCGAUUUUACAUAUUGUUAAUGUGAUCAGUUGAUUUGGCUCUGUUUCUUUGCCGUGUUUGAACCAUGCGUGUAGAGAAAAACACAUAUGCUAGUUGAUUAUGAUUGUUAUGUGCUGUUUUUGAAUGUCUAAUAUUUUGAUUGUGAGAUUGAUUUAUAUUUACUUUGGAAUUGUGUUUGUAUGUCCUUAAAGGAAUGGCUAACGAGUUGAAGUUUAUGAUUUCAUGUUUUAUAGGAAUGGCUUAUCAGUUUCCAAAACGCAUUCUUGAAGAAGGAGCUGAGACUCAGAUUGAUAAAAUUAACAACACCUGUAGACGUACGAUUCUUGAAACGGUGAAGGGUGUUCUCAAGGAUGAGUAUGAAGAAGUAUUGAAAGACCCGGUCUUCGGUCCAAUUCUGGCAAUCGUAGAAAAUAAGCUCAUUUACUCUGGGAAGUUUAUUCACAGCUUCAUAUGCAAGCAUCUCAAGGUUUCCAAGCUCCAUGGGUUGUGGUUUCUGUUUGUAAAGCGGCCUCUCAGGUUUUCUAUGCAAGAAUUUGAUGCUGUGACUGGUUUGAAGUUCAAAGAUGAACCGAAGAUAGACUUCAUUAACUAGAAGGAUGAUAAGGGGUUCUGGAGCCUCGUGCUGAAGAAAAAUAGAAAGAUUAACUUAUUCAGUGUAAGGGAUGAGCUUCUUAAAGAGUGUAAGGAGUGGACGUAUCUGGACAGGGUGAGGCUAGUAUAUCUGUGUAUUAUACAUGGAUUCAUCAUGGCUAAGGAUUGGAAAGUGUCUAUCCCUCAAGAAUACAUCCGUUUGGUGAUGGAUUUUGAAAAGUUGAGGAUGUAUCCUUGGGGUCUUCGCGUGUAUGAUGAGCUGUUUGUAUCAAUAUUUAGAGCAAGGGAAGAUUUGCAUCUGAAGAACAGUUACGUGUUGGAUGGAUUCUCAUAUGCGUUUCAGAUAUGGAUUAUGGAGGCAGUCCCAGACAUUGGUACUAUGGUGGGUAAAAAGAUUAAAAAAAAUAUCACCAAAGUGAGAUGUAGAAAUUGGAAAGGAAGUGGAAAAGUAUCCUACCAAGAUAUCAGUACCCUAGAGUCACACUUCGAUAAGGUAACUAUCUUUCUUCUAUGAAUAUUGAAUUCUAAAAUUUGAACAAUUUAUGCUUAAUGGUUUGUUUGUUCUUGGCAGGGAGAGCUGUUCCCCUUUGUAUCAUACUGGGAACCAUGAUGUGGUUGAUAAUGCUGAGUUCAUUAGGGAAGAUGAAAAAAAGGAUGAAAGAGUUGGUCGAAUUUUUGCUCUGAUGAAUGCCAAACAAGAUUGGAACCAAUUCGCUUGGGAAGUUGAGGAUUGGCCUCAAAAUGUGGAGCUUUCUGAUUCAGAAGAUGAUGUUGAAGUCGAAGAUGUCACAGAGGAACCGUCUGCUGUUGCAGAGGAACCGGUUGUUGUUGCAAAAAGGGGCAAGCGCAAGCUUUUAUUGAUCCAGGUGUCGAGUCUCGAAAGAAACAACUGCUUUGUCAACGGGCGGCUGAGCAUAACAGUGGUGCCUCCGGUGAUCUGAAGACCUUCAUUAAAGGUUUGUUCACCUCUUCUUUGAACUCUUUAAAGGAGCUGGUGCAAAAGGACAUCCAAGAGCAUUUUGACAAGGUCCAUAAUGAGAUGGCUCAACUUAAGGAAACGAUGUCUCAAGUUACGGGUCCUUCACAUACAGAGGGAUAAACCAAAGCAUCUGAGAGUCCGGGUCCUUCACAUACAGAGGGAAAAUACCAAGACAAAUCAUCACAGAGGAACCGGUUGUUGUUGCAAAAAGGGGCAAGCGCAAGCUUAUUGAUCCAGGUGUCGAGUCUCGAAAGAAACAACUGCUUUGUCAACGGGCGGCUGAGCAUAACAGUGGUGCCUCCGGUGAUCUGAAGACCUUCAUUAAAGGUUUGUUCACCUGUUCUUUGAACUCUUUAAAGGAGCUGGUGCAAAAGGACAUCCAAGAGCAUUUUGACAAGGUCCAUAAUGAGAUGGCUCAACUCAAGGAAACGAUGUCUCAAGUUACGGGUCCUUCACAUACAGAGGGAGAAACCAAAGCAUCUGAGAGUCCGGGUCCUUCACAUACAGAGGGAAAAUACCAAGACAAAUCAUCACAGAGUCCGGGUCCUUCAGCAGCAAAGGGAAAAGGCAAAGGCAAGGCAGCUGAGAGUUUGCCUCCUCCCACGGUUCGUCGUAGCCCUCGGCCAGUAAGAAAGGUAACAAAAUAAUGAAUAUUUUGUAAUGUUCCAUAUUGGGUUUGAAUCUUUUGUAAUGUUCUGUUCUUUGUAUUUUGUUGUAAUUGCUAUGUAGUUUGACACGGUUGUAAUGUGGUUGUAUUUUGUUAUGUGGCAUAACGGUUGACUUGAUUGUAAUUUUAUUUGUAUGAAGUGAAAAACUUUCUAUUAAUGUUAUGCUUGGUUGUAUUAACAAGAUGUUCAAAAUUUUGAAGACGACAUGAUGGAUUUUUUGAAGAAUUUGUCACAAUCAUCAAACAUCAAAGUAGAAAUGCAGACCCAAGAGUACUUACAAGAUACCAUGGGAAACUUUUCUCAAUUAUCAUAUGUUAAAGGUUUCGAUCCAACACAAAACUCAAUGGCGAAGAACCAGCCGAAUGCGUUACUCCACUGACUUCAUUUAAGCCUGCGGAUUGGAGACCACCUACUCUCAAAGAUAUCGACUUACAUGAAGAUCGGGUGAAUAACAGCGAUUACUCACUAGUGUUUGUCCUUGAGGAUUCAUGGGCCAAACUGAUUAAGUGGUCCUCAACUUCCAUGUAAGUUUUAUAGUGUUUCUUCAUGUCUUAUAAUUCAAUCUUUCUAUAACUGAAUUUUGCAUUGCAGUAAACUGAAAAUUGGACCUACUAAGUUCACAAGUGAGUUAGCAACACAUGUCAUGGGACCUACAGAGUGGCUGUUUAAUAAUGUGAGUUUUUAAUUUGUUAAUUCUUAUUUUCUGCACAUCGACUUGCAAUCUCUUAUCAAAUUUUCAGGAAAUUGAUGCUAUGAUGUACUUAUUCACUGAGAGGACUUCCUUGCGAUGAUGGGAACUAAUUAAAGUAGCAUUCAUGAUCUGCAUGUUCAGUAAUCAAAUGAAGAACUCUUUCGAAGAGUUUCGGAAGGAAAAGAAAGAAUUCAAAGUAACAAGACUGCUACACCAGUACGACAUUGGUGAACUUCCAGCACACGGGCGAACAUGACUAAAUUGGGAUGUUUAUGUUACACGUAUGUAUGUGCCCCUUAAUGUCGGUAAACACUGGAUCUCUAUGUGCGUCAACUUUGUUUCUCGUUCAAUAGAGGUCUUUGACUGUGACGGAUUGAAGCACACCAAGUCAGUGGAGCCAUUUGUCGUUCUCAUCCCUAGAAUUGUCAAAGCUGUCAAUUCUUCAAACAACUCAAAACUCAAAGUUAAGCAAUAUACCGUAAGUUACGCCCAAUGCCCUUACUAAACAAGAGUAGCAGUGAUUGUGAAGUAUAUGCCUUAAAGCACAUUGAAUGUCAUCUUCAAAACUUGGACUUCUCCCUGGUGAAUGACAACAACAUUCGAGAAACGCGCCAAAAGAUUGCUUAUGACUUAUGGGAAGCUGCUAAUGAUCAUGUGCUUAUUUCGAGAAUGGCACAAUUCACUCCUCCAAAGACAAUUACAAAUCCUGUCGUGGAACUUGAAUGACGUUUUUUCAAUUAUGACUUGUGUAGGAAGAAUGUGUUAUUUGACUCUUUUAUUUGUCUCUCUUAGCUACUCUUUAUCUUUUAUUUGAAUUUUUUAGUUACUCUUUUUGACAAUAUAAAUCCCUAACUAUACCCUAAAUGACUGGUAUGCGAAGACAUUUUCUUUAACAACCUCUAAAGAUAACCUAAUUGAUACUAAACUAAAACUUAAACUAUAUCAACCCCUAAUGAAACCCUAAAUGACACUAAAGUAAGACCUAAACGAUUUCAACCCUUGUCUAUACCAUAAAUGAUAGUAAAGUAAGACAGUAACGAUUUCAACCCCUAUCUAUACCCUAAAUGACAGUUAAGUAAGACAGUAAUGAUUUCAACCAAAUUAAUCGACAUAAAUCUUAUAAAUCAGAAAAAAAUCUUAAUAAUAAAAACACAUACAAGUUGACCCUAAAACCCAACCCGAUUAAAAGCAUUUUUUUCCCUAAAAAACUUAUAUAAGACCAAAAAAUAGCCAGAUAACCCUACAUAUUCCAUCGUUUAUUUCUCCAACUUUUCUUAGAAAACCUCUUCUUCUCAAUAAAUAAUGGCGAACAUGAAUAAUAAUGAAGGGAUCCCUUCCAGAUGUUGGUGUGGGAAGCGGAUUGUCACUUAUGUUUCCAAAACAGAGGAGAACCCACACAGACGAUUCUUCAGAUGUGAGAUAUCUUUAUAGGUAAAUCUGAAAUUUCAUUUGUCUCAUUCUUCUAUAUGGAAAAUUGACUUGUUUUUGUGUUUUCAAACAGAGAAAGAGAGAAAAUCAUCUUUUUAAGUGGGUCGACGAGGCUCUAUUUGUUGAGAUUCAACGGAUAAAAUGAGCAUCAGGCGAGAAUUGCCGAGGAAAUAGAAGAUCUGAGAAGUUCUAUGAAGAAGACAGUGCAUGAUGAAGUUAUGAAGCAUAAGAAUUCGCUCGAUGUAGGUUGUGUAGCGUCUAUUCUCAGUAUUUUAUGUCUCUGUUCCAAAUGUGAUUGAUGUUCUGAUUGUUCUCUAAUUCAAGUUACAUUGUCAAAGAUUGAACCAAUUUGAUUUCCAGUUUUAUCGUCAUCUAGCGAACCAAUAUGAAAAUAAAACAUCUAUUGAAUUAUAUUGUUAAGACCUAAACGAUUUCCAGUUGUAUCAUUUUACAUGAACAAACUGAAACAUAACUUCCAAAAACGAGAAAAACAAAAUGCAUAAAAUGACUGAAUUCAACAUGAAAAAAACUGAAUUACUUGCAUAAAACGAGAAGAAAGAAACACAUAGUCUCUGAAACAUAACUUGCGUAGAAUGAAUUGAGAAUCCUAUAUUUCCUUAUCACAUGUUCUCCUGUUGUGACCUUCAAUCCCACAUCGCCUGCAUUUCCGAACUGUAGAGCCUUGAGUUCCUUGUGUCGAACGGAUCUUAUCUUCGACUGUCUCGUAUCUUCAUUUUUUUCUCCUACCUGCAGUUCGUCUACUCUCUUGAGGAAGGAUUUUCGACUUCUCCACAUGAGAUGGAACUUUCCAUGCAUCUUCGGGGAUGCUAAUAGGAUUUAUGCUUUCUUCAUAAGCCCAGCGUCAUGAGGCAGUAGUGUACAUGUGAUCUGAUAGUAUGUGUGGUCUUAUUCCAACACUGAAGCCUGCUUUUAUGGCGUGCCUGCAUGGGAUUUUCAUCAGAUCAAAUUUUCCACAAGAACACGUGCGUCUGACCAAGUCAACCGAGCAGUCAAAAGUGUCACCUUUAACUAAAAACCUAUGAUCGCUAACUGGAAAGACCUUAACCGUUUUACCCUUCUAAAUCCUUCUGUCAAUCUUCUUCUUCACAGCAAUUGUCAGUGGCUUCGAAUGCUUAGAACUUAAAGUUAUACGUUUGAAAAAAUAUUGAGUCAUCAUUUCCCUAAUGCUGUCCAACAAAGGUCUCACGGGAAACUCUCUAGGCAUAUGCAAAGCAUCAUUUAUUGACUCCACAGGGUUAGUAGUCCUAAUAUCAUAUUUGGAACCCGGAAACUGACAACGAGCCCAGUUCCUCUCAUCGGCAUCUAUGAGAUAAUUUCCAAUUUUAGGACUAAUAGCGAAAAUAUCAGUGAACACCUUACGAAAAAUCCGCAGCUCGAUAAGCUUUAGAAGCCUUUGCAACCAAACCAGGCACACCUUUCUGGCUGAAAUAUGUUACAACAUUAUUCAGCAAGUGGUGAAUGAAAAUUCUAUGAUGAGCUUGCGGGUACACUUUUGCAAUAGCUUUAGCAAUUGAGGAAUUCUUAUCAGACACAAAAGCUAAACUAUGGUCGUCAGCAAUGACCACAUUAAGUUGUCUCAUAAACCAGUUCCAUGUGAGGUCAUUCUCUGAGUCGACAACUUCAAAGGCAAUAGGAUAUAAACUCGAGUUUCCAUCUAAUGCAGUAGCAAUUAGUAAUACUCCUUUGUAUUUGCUCUUCAAAAACGUCUCAUCCACCACAAUAACUUUUCGAAUUGCAGCAUAGAAACCGUGAACACUCUGACCAAACGAGAUGAAGAGGAAUCUGAAUCUCCCUUUUGUAUCCCUUUCAUAAAACGUGUGUGACCCUGGAUUAGCUUCCUUCAUCAUGUGCAAGUAUUUGGGAAUUUUUUCAUAAACUUUCUCUGGAAUACCUUUCACUGCGUUGAUUGCAUAUUCACGUGCAUCCCAUGACAAAGAAUAGGAUAUCUCAACUCCAUGUACAAUACGGAUAUACUGGAUUAUAUCAUUCGAUCUCAGCCCUUGUUUAGCAGUUUCAUACUUAUACAUAAUCAGGGUAACCACUGUUUUUGCUGAAACUGUCCUAACAUAACCCUUCCUAUUGAAUGCAGCACAUGAAUGAUAGGUACAUACUUUUCGAUGAUAAAAUAUGAUGAGCCUGUUAAUCCCUCUACACGAACAUGCCAGCUGCAAUCAUCAUCUGAGCAACGAAUGUACCACACUUUUUUUAUCCGAUAUGGGAACCACGUAGUCGAAAUUAUGUUUCAUUGCACAUAUUUCGAAUGCUGCCUUCAAAAGUGUUUUGGAACUAAAAGAUUGACCCUUUUUCACAACAUCCACCAAAGAGAAGCGAACACUAUCUUCAUUGAUCUUCUCUUUGUCACACUUUUUGUCAUCUUCACUGUCAGGUACCUCAAUAUCUUCUUCUGAAUCCAUAUCAGCUGCAUCGUCAGAGUCCAUAUGACCUGAAUCGUCAGACUCCAUAGGCUCUUCCUCUCUGUUAGGCGACUCAGUACCUUAUUCCGCUAUGUUAGGGGCUUGAGUACUCACACACAACUGCGUCGAAGCUUUGUUCUUUACAUAUGUAAGAAAAAUUUUAACUUGCCAAUCACUGGUGAUGAUAACGGGUGGCGAGCUGAUGCUAUUGAUCAAAUCGGAAGGUAAAUAACUCAGCUCUAUAUUGACCAUGUUUACAUCAAUUCCAAAGUCUUCUCACACCAUAACCUUUAGGUUUUCAAAGCUUGAACUUGUGUCCAAAGUAAGUAACUUGCCUCCUUUUUCUUCAUCAACAAGAAAUCCCCAUCCAUUGUUCAUCGACGAUUUCCACAAACCACAUGAAGCAUAGAUGUUAAUCUUCAUAUUUUAGAAUGACAAAAGUUUGGAAGAACUAAAAAAUGAAGAAGAACUUCCACGUUUAAUUUCAGAAAUCGUGCUAUGUUGAAGAAGAAGACUAGAUUUUAGGGAAAAAAAAAAUAAAAAAGGAUAUAAAAACAUUUAAAAGAUUUACUGAAUAUUUCAUAAUCGUUUUUGGCUAGAUUUUCGGAUUUUAUAAUUUUAUUAGGUAGAAAUUGCAUUCUAUCUGUUUAGAAAUUAGAAGGUCUGGUAGAAUAUUGUAUACCACCAAUGUAGAUAAAAAGACAAUUCGAAUAAUGCAUUUCCUACCUUAGUAGAUUAAUUAAUUUUUGUAGUUCAUCAAAUCUAUCAGUUAUGUAGAGGAUAGAGGGAAUGAGGAUUUUAUAUUCUUCCCUAGUAGUUAUUAAUGUUUCCGGUGUAUUGCGCAUUCUACGGUUGGUAGAUAACUAUGUCUUUGUUAGAUUAUAUAUUCCAAACCUCCGUGGAUGGUAGAUAUGAUUUUCUAACACCUUUACCCCAUUUCUGAAAUUACUAUUCAAACAUCUUUUGAAUCCAAAUAUUUUUUUUAUAUGCAGUUGCUUAUCUACAUCAAAUAUACUAUUUUCCAUAUUUUUUGCAUUUUAAAAAAAUUGAUAUGAAUUUUUAUAUACAAAAAGGGUAGUGAAUGUCCAAAAGUGACAAACGUUGAUUUUAUUCUAAGGAGACAAUACCUUAGUUUAGUUGUUCUAUAUUGGCAAUUUUCCCUUACUUUUUCCAUUUUUAUAUUUUUACUUGGUUUUAUAAUAAUUAUUUUAAUACAUUGUUCACAUUUUUUAUAUAUUAUGUAUUAUUUUAUUCAUGUGUUUUGUAUUAAUAUAUAACUAGAUUUUGGUCCGCGCUUUAAAAGUGCAGGAUUUUCCAUUUUUUAAUAUUUAAUUUUAUAACAUAAAAUGUGUACUUAAAUUUUAUAUAAUAUUUUUAACAUUAUUUAAUAGUUAUUUGCAAAAAAAAACAUUAUUAAUAGUUGUUUUAUAUUUUUUGGAUGACCAAUAUCUUAAAAAAAGAGGAAAAUUUUACUUUUACACUUUGUUGGAUACCACUUUUCAACUUUACCAUAAGUCUGAGGACAUUUUCAGAAAUACCACUUUCAUUAAUGAGCAAAAGACAAUAAUACUCUUACCUUAUCUUCUUCUCCACCAUCGGUUUCUCUCCCUCUCCCCGAGUCAUCGUUGUCUCUCUCUCACCGUCGAGUCACCAUCGUCUCUAUCUCUCCGUCGAGUUCCGGCGUCUCUCUCACCGUCUAGUUCCGGCGUCUCUCUCUCACCGUCGACUCCUAUACAUGAUUCACAACUUUUGGAUAGCAAUGAGUUUUGCACAAAUUUGAGUUUGCCUCCUAGGAUUUAUGGAGCUGGAACAGAACCACAAGACAAUCACAAAGUGAUCAUCUAACAUUCAAACAUGGAUUAUGUCUCUUAGGUUGCUGAUAUAUUGGGAAAAGAAGAGUUUGCGCAGAUAGAGAACUCACACAUUGGAAGCAUUGUGAAGCUGGCAAGAAGGAUUAGCGUUCAGUUUUCAGAGAUCUGUUCCAUUUUCUCAUGCAGCAAAGAAUAGUGACGAAAGGAACAGGUCUUUGGUUUUCAUUCUCUGAUCAACCAAUGAGGUUUUCAAUGAGAGAAUUUAAUCUGACAACAGGGUUAGCUUGUGAGCAAGAUAAAACAGAAAAAGAGCCAUUGUUCAGACAAGUGAAGAAACCUUAUCUUUGGAUGCUAAGCAAGGGGGACAAGUACACAGUGAGAAGCUUGUAUGAUCUGCCCAAAAAGAAAGCAAAAACAAUGACAAGACUAGAGAGACUAUCUAUAGGAAUAGCAAUAAUCACAGAAGGGGUAAUUAUUGCAGAAAACUCAAGCUCUCUAAUCACAGAAGGAAUCUCGAAGCUACUGGUCUCUCAGUGCAUUAACCUUCAGUCUGGUUCUCAGAAUAAAACUAUUCAUGUAUGUUUAUAAAGGUUUAUAAAACCAAUCAUAUGGAUAUAUGAAAUAGUUUUGUAUAUAAAUCAUUUAUAAGAGAUUAUAAAACCAUUUAUGAACCAUUUAUAAAUUUUAUAAGAGCUUAUAAAUCCUUGUAUCAACCAUCUAUAAAUUUUAUAAAACACAUAUAAGAGAAAUAUAAAUCUAUUCAUAAGAGUUUAUAAAUCUAUUUAUAACGGUUUAUUCAAAAGAUUAUAAGAGUUUAAUAAUCUUCAUAGCACAAUUUAUAAGGGGUUAUAAAUCAAUUUAGAAGUGUUUAUAAAUCAAUUUAGAAGUGUUUAUAAUAGAUCAUACAAGCCACUCUUUAUGACCAAGGCCAUCAAGAUUCAAGGUUUUGACAGCGACAGUAAGGCCAGUGCCAGGCUGAACAGGAGCAGUUCCGUUCUCCUCCAACCAUCCUUUAAAGACACAACCAAAGCCACCUUCUCCGAGAAGACUUUCUGGUCUGAAAUUUCUUGUAGCCAACUUGAGAUCAAGGAAAGGAAACUGCUUGACAUGAGAAUACAUCUUAAGCUCUUCACUGAUCAUAGGAGUGGAAAAGGAGAUUUCAGCAUUGGUGGUUGUUGCUAAUGUAAAAGAAGAAGAAACAGGGCCAGCUGGUUGCUCAUUUGAUUUCACAGUUGCUGUCGACUUACUUCCUAGUGUUAAAAACAAAAAAAAAACCAUAUAGAUUAGGAUGAAAGUAGUUAAGCUCAAACUCUGAUUCUGAAAGUUAGGUAAACCAACCACAUUGGACACAUACGGGAGAGAAUCUUAGAUGAAAAUUUUAAGUCUAUUU